This 253-nucleotide ribosomal RNA is filed under the name uncultured bacterium. RNAcentral describes it as "partial 16S ribosomal RNA". It matches the Rfam family "Bacterial small subunit ribosomal RNA", at positions 524 to 776 of the family's 1533-position model. The record is from RNAcentral.
UACGUAGGGGGCAAGCGUUGUCCGGAAUCAUUGGGCGUAAAGCGCGUGUAGGCGGCUCGGUAAGUCCGCUCUGAAAGUCCGGGGCUCAACCCCGGGAGGCGGGUGGAUACUGUCGAGCUCGAGUCCGGAAGAGGCGAGUGGAAUUCCUGGUGUAGCGGUGAAAUGCGCAGAUAUCAGGAGGAACACCGAUGGCGAAGGCAGCUCGCUGGGACGUGACUGACGCUGAGGUGCGAAAGCGUGGGGAGCAAACAGG